GGAUGUGAGGGCGAUCUGGCUGCGACAUCUGUCACCCCAUUGAUUGCCAAGGUUGAUUCGGCUGAUCUGGCUGCUGGCUAGGCGGGUGUCCCCUUCCUCCCUCACCGCUCCAUGUGCGUCCCUCCCGAAGCUGCGCGCUUGGUCGAAGAGGACGACCUUCCCCGAUAGAGGACCGUUCUUCGGUCAAGGGUAUACGAGUAGCUGCACUCCCCUGCUAGAACCUCCAAACAAGCUCUCAAGGUCCUAUACUACUAUUUUUCAAUUUUAAGUCUUAAUCUUCUUUAUCAUUUGAAGGCAGAAAUUGUAAUUU
This is an unclassified non-coding RNA of Ursus americanus (American black bear), 310 nucleotides long. Its record names the gene 7SK. It matches the Rfam family "7SK RNA". Rfam says of the family: 7SK was discovered as an abundant small nuclear RNA in the mid-70s but a possible function has only recently been suggested. Two independent studies have found that 7SK RNA binds the CDK9/cyclin T complex (known as elongation factor P-TEFb). Lineage: Eukaryota; Metazoa; Chordata; Mammalia; Carnivora; Ursidae. The record is from Ensembl.